Bos taurus (domestic cattle) is the source of this 1367-nucleotide long non-coding RNA. The record is from Ensembl. Lineage: Eukaryota; Metazoa; Chordata; Mammalia; Artiodactyla; Bovidae.
GCCCGAGGCAGGCAUCAGGGUCUUAUAAGAGGAGGCGGGGCAGCAGAUUGGAGAGGUGGAAAGUGAGGAGACAGUAGAAGCAGACACUGGAGUGAUGUGGCCACAAGCCAGGGAAUGCUAGCAGACUCUGGAAGCCAGAGGUGGUGAGGAUCAGCUUCUUCCCUAGAGGCCUCAGGAAGAACCAGCCUUGCCGACACCUUGACUUUAUCCCAGUGACGCUGGCCGCCACACCUGUAGGGGAGUAUACAUGGAUGUGGUUUUAGGUCACUGAGAUCGUGGUAAUUCAUCAUAGCGGCCACAGGAAAUGGAUACAGGAUGUUGUGAAGAUAGACAGUCCUCCACAAGGAGAAGGAUUUGCUGUAACGUCGUCAGAGCAGUCGUGUCCGACUCUUUGUGACCCUGUGGCUUGUAGCCCGCUAGACUCUUUUGUCCAUGGGAUUCUCCGGGCAAGGAACACUGGAUCCAGGAAGAUUCCACGUGCCACAGAGCAACUGAGCCGGCUUGCCACAACCACUGAAGUCUUCAUGCUCUAGGACCCGAGAACCACAAUUACUGAGCCCCUGUGCCACAGCCACUGAAGGCUGAGAGCCUAGAGCCCAUGAUCUGCAACAAGAGAAGUCACUGCAGUGAGAAGAAGCUAGAGCGCCAGAAGUAGAGAGUAGCCCCCGCUCCCUGCCCGCAUGCAGCAAAGAAGACCCAGCACAGCCAAAAUUAAAUAAAUACAGCAGUGUGUAUAAGUCAAAAAAUAAACUAAUUAAAAAAAAAAGAAAAGAAAACUCUGGAAGGUUUCUCCUGGUCAAUGGGUAUCCACACAGAUCUCACAAAAGGUUCUUAGUGUCACUGUGAGUUUUCCUCUGAAAGCCUUUUUCAGAACUGGGCAUCCUGAGUGAUUCUAGAAUUUCAAAAUCUGUGGAGGGGAGCAAGCUGGAGAAUCCUUUUGUUCACGCAAGUUCAGCUCCUCUGGAAAUUGGGAGCCAGCCCUCAAAAAUCUCAGAUGUUCUUGAUGUGAGCCUCUCGGAGACCUUCAGAGGCGAUCCCUGGCUGAGGACUUGCCAACCUCAAGGGUAACCUCUGUGCCUUGAAACUGUGAAGUUAGAGCAAGAAGCCGGUCACACAAAUAGCCUUGCAACCUGAGUGUGCACGCAUCAGGAUCGCUUGGAAGGCUGCUGAUGCAGACUGCUGAGCACCCCCAGCCCAGGGAGACUCAAAGUAUCCGCGCUGAGACUGGACAAUUUGCAUUUCUUCGUUUGUUUGCUGAAAUGUGACCCAUUCUUGUGGGAUGAUGCCAACACUGGAUGCAGGACUAUUUUAAAGUCAUUUGGACCUAAUCUCACUUUCACAGAUUCUGCUCCUUAUUACAUCAAAUA